RNAcentral lists this ribosomal RNA (506 nucleotides) under uncultured bacterium. RNAcentral's name for it is "partial 16S ribosomal RNA". It matches the Rfam family "Bacterial small subunit ribosomal RNA", at positions 29 to 523 of the family's 1533-position model. The record is from RNAcentral.
AGUGAACGCUGGCGGUAGGCCUAACACAUGCAAGUCGAACGGCAGCACAGGAGAGCUUGCUCUCUGGGUGGCGAGUGGCGGACGGGUGAGGAAUACAUCGGAAUCUACUUUUUCGUGGGGGAUAACGUAGGGAAACUUACGCUAAUACCGCAUACGACCUACGGGUGAAAGCAGGGGAUCUUCGGACCUUGCGCGAUUGAAUGAGCCGAUGUCGGAUUAGCUAGUUGGCGGGGUAAAGGCCCACCAAGGCGACGAUCCGUAGCUGGUCUGAGAGGAUGAUCAGCCACACUGGGACUGAGACACGUGCCAGACUCCUACGGGAGGCAGCAGUGGGGAAUAUUGGACAAUGGGCGCAAGCCUGAUCCAGCCAUACCGCGUGGGUGAAGAAGGCCUUCGGGUUGUAAAGCCCUUUCGUUGGGAAAGAAAUCCAGCUGGCUAAUACCCGGUUGGGAUGACGGUACCCAAAGAAUAAGCACCGGCUAACUUCGUGCCAGCCGCCGCCGUAA